CAGGCCUAACACAUGCAAGUCGAGCGGUAGAGAGGUGCUUGCAUCUCUUGAGAGCGGCGGACGGGUGAGUAAUGCCUAGGAAUCUGCCUGGUGGUGGGGGAUAACGUUCGGAAACGGACGCUAAUACCGCAUACGUCCUACGGGAGAAAGCGGGGGAUCUUCGGACCUCGCGCCAUUAGAUGAGCCUAGGUCGGAUUAGCUAGUUGGUGAGGUAAUGGCUCACCAAGGCGACGAUCCGUAACUGGUCUGAGAGGAUGAUCAGUCACACUGGAACUGAGACACGGUCCAGACUCCUACGGGAGGCAGCAGUGGGGAAUUUUGGACAAUGGGGGCAACCCUGAUCCAGCAAUGCCGCGUGAGUGAAGAAGGCCUUCGGGUUGUAAAGCUCUUUUGUCAGGGAAGAAACGGUGAGUUCUAAUAAAGCUUGCUAAUGACGGUACCUGAAGAAUAAGCACCGGCUAACUACGUG
Molecule: ribosomal RNA, 469 nt
Filed under: uncultured bacterium
Lineage: Bacteria
Description: bacterial SSU rRNA
Rfam family: Bacterial small subunit ribosomal RNA
Source: RNAcentral